GCCUGGGUGGCUCAGUCGGUUAAGCGUCUGACUUCAGCUCAGGUCAAGAUCUCUCGGCUUGUGAGUUCGAGCCCCGCGUCAGGCU
Molecule: transfer RNA, 85 nt
Organism: Felis catus (domestic cat)
Lineage: Eukaryota; Metazoa; Chordata; Mammalia; Carnivora; Felidae
Rfam family: tRNA
About the family: Transfer RNA (tRNA) molecules are approximately 80 nucleotides in length. Their secondary structure includes four short double-helical elements and three loops (D, anti-codon, and T loops). Further hydrogen bonds mediate the characteristic L-shaped molecular structure. tRNAs have two regions of fundamental functional importance: the anti-codon, which is responsible for specific mRNA codon recognition, and the 3' end, to which the tRNAs corresponding amino acid is attached (by aminoacyl-tRNA synthetases). tRNAs cope with the degeneracy of the genetic code in two manners: having more than one tRNA (with a specific anti-codon) for a particular amino acid; and 'wobble' base-pairing, i.e. permitting non-standard base-pairing at the 3rd anti-codon position.
Source: Rfam